Non-coding RNA from Pelobates cultripes (western spadefoot toad), 203 nucleotides. Lineage: Eukaryota; Metazoa; Chordata; Amphibia; Anura; Pelobatidae. The record is from the annotation of a GenBank genome assembly.
UUAGUGAUAUACUAGGAGUUUACAUGGAGCUCUGUCUAUUGGAGUGGUUACUGGAGCUUAGUGAUAUACUAUGAGUUUACAUGGAGCUCGGUCUAUUGGAGAGGUUACUAGAGCUUAGUGAUAUACUAGGAGUUUACAUGGAGCUCUGUCUAUUGGAGUGGUUACUGGAGCUUAGUGAUAUACUAUGAGUUUACAUGGAGCUC